AGCGAACGCUGGCAGCAGGCCUAACACAUGCAAGUCGAACGAACUCUUCGGAGUUAGUGGCGGACGGGUGAGUAACACGUGGGAACGUGCCUUUAGGUUCGGAAUAACUCAGGGAAACUUGUGCUAAUACCGAAUGUGCCCCCCGAUUCAUUUUGGGGUGGGAAAGAUUUAUCGCCUUUAGAGCGGCCCGCGUCUGAUUAGCUAGUUGGUGAGGUAAAGGCUCACCAAGGCGACGAUCAGUAGCUGGUCUGAGAGGAUGAUCAGCCACAUUGGGACUGAGACACGGCCCAAACUCCUACGGGAGGCAGCAGUGGGGAAUCUUGCGCAAUGGGCGAAAGCCUGACGCAGCCAUGCCGCGUGAAUGAUGAAGGUCUUAGGAUUGUAAAAUUCUUUCACCGGGGACGAUAAUGACGGUACCCGGAGAAGAAGCCCCGGCUAACUUCGUGCCAGCAGCCGCGGUAAUACGAAGGGGGCUAGCGUUGCUCGGAAUUACUGGGCGUAAAGGGAGCGUAGGCGGACAUUUAAGUCAGGGGUGAAAUCCCGGGGCUCAACCUCGGAAUUGCCUUUGAUACUGGGUGUCUUGAGUAUGAGAGAGGUGUGUGGAACUCCGAGUGUAGAGGUGAAAUUCGUAGAUAUUCGGAAGAACACCAGUGGCGAAGGCGACACACUGGCUCAUUACUGACGCUGAGGCUCGAAAGCGUGGGGAGCAAACAGG
Molecule: ribosomal RNA, 715 nt
Filed under: uncultured Caulobacteraceae bacterium
Lineage: Bacteria; Pseudomonadati; Pseudomonadota; Alphaproteobacteria; Caulobacterales; Caulobacteraceae
Description: bacterial SSU rRNA
Rfam family: Bacterial small subunit ribosomal RNA
Source: RNAcentral